AGUGUUUAGCUCAGGUGUGAGACUGAGAGAAUUUGUAAGAUUGUGCUUCCACUCUACUGUUCUAUACUCAUUGUGUGACUUUAAGCAAACAUUUUACAGAUUCAGUCAUUAGCCUCCAAAUAAGCAAGUGAAUUGUUAAUCUUUGACUAUAUUUGGAUAACUCAUGUUAAUUCUGUUUCGUAUUUUGCAACUUCAUGGUUUCAGUUCAUUGGGAUUAACCUUUUAUAAUCUUUGUUUUCUCCAAUCACAGUCCUUUCGCGCCAGAACAGGAAAGGCCUUGGCUCAGAAUCAAGAAGAUGCUGAUUCCAAAGUGGUUAUCAAGCAAGUAUAUGGGUAGCUAUUCUUUUAUUGGUAGUUUUUUUUUUUCACCAUUGAUUGUUUUGAUACUUGGGUGGCUAGUAUGAAUGGAAUCUAUUUAUAUAUAUAUAUGUAUGUAUAUAAAUGAGGUUUUAUUUUUUCAAAUAUAUUUUUUAUUGCUCUAAAUUUUUGUUGAAUUUCUGUAAAUUUUUUGUUUUUCCCUUCUGAUUAUCCCAGUCCAGUCCACCUUCUCCAGAGUCACUAAUAUGUAACUAUUGGUAAAUGCUCUGCAGGUGUUCGAUUAAAUAAUUCUAAGAAAAUAUAGAAUCUACAAUGCUUUGUUUUAUUCUUUAUAAGCCUUAAAAUCUUCCAGAUUGUUUUGAUAACCAAAGAAUCAACUUGUUUCUUAAAUUGGAUUUAUUGUUUCUACACCUUAUAGAAUCUAUUUUGGUAGCUAGGUUGUACUACUCUAGACCAAUUAUAUGCGGGAACAACAAUCAGACCUCUAUUCAUGAUAUUCCUUUUAUUAUUCAUCCUCAUUAUUGUUUACAAGGUUUAUCUUCAAUUCCCAUUUAUCUUAUCAUAUAUUUUUUUAAAAAGAAAAAUUAAAUCAGUACUUGCAUCAUGGAAUCAUUUUCUUAAGCUUUGCUAAAUUUGAUCUCUAAGCUUGGCAUGAUGAGCAUUAGCAAAUGAAAAGUUCCAAUAACUCUUAUUGAUCUUGAUUUUGUUAACACUUUUUUAGAGUUAUCAUGAAGUUUUUUUUUUUUUUUUUGAAGUAUACAAUCACAGGUGAAAAUAAUUAGAGGCGUAAUCUCAGUAGAAUGUAAGAAUGAGCAAUAUGAAUGUAUGCUACUUCAUGGAAACUUGGAGUAAACUUAUUACUUUUUAUUUCUAUUUUCAUUUUGCUCUUUAUUUUUAUUAUAGCUAUUGGUUCGGUGCCUUGGGUCACAAACAGAUGAACUCUAUGUUGUGGUAGUUUUUACUUCAGUUGUUUUUCAGGUAGUCUAGAUUAAAGGUGCUUUGUUAAUAAGUGGAAAUGAAUAAGAAUAUGUAUAACUUUGUCAAUAAACUAUUUUCUCGUGGAGGAAUAUCAUGGGUUUAGCAUAGACUACAUAUAUUGUGCCACAUGUUAAUACAGUAGCCUUUAGUUGACUGACCUGACCAGUAAGCUACACAUAGUUUUUUUUUCAGUGUUUCCUCAUCCCAUUUUUGCAGUUAAGUUGCUCUGUAGGUUUCUGUUAUGGUUUUUGAUUUUUUGCAGUGCUUUAAUUAUGCACUUUGGCAUUGUUUGGGGAUACUAGUGACUCAAUGAAGAACCCCUUGUAACCAGUUAGUGUUGGUAAAGACUUGCUUUUUAAAGUUUGAUUAUGUCUUUGCAUUUUCAUCUUAAAAACUAUUUAGAGUUGCUUCUUAGAACAUGAUGAUACAUUUGUGGUAAUAAUCUCAUUAUGUUCUUUUUCUUAGUAAAUUCUUUUCUCUUUUGUUUUUCUCUUCAAAUUCUAUAAAUGAAUUAUAGACUUGUACAUAAUUUGAUUUUGAUCAAAAUUAUGCUCAAUCUGUUUGAUCAAAUGCUUACAUGGAAAUUAUGAGUAAGUCCUUUUUUUUUAUCAUUAUGACUCUUCAUAUAUCUUUCCAGUUAUGAAAGUGGUAAUUAAUUUUAUAUUUAUUUAUUUGUCUAAUAUUAUCUUUAUUAUUUAUAUUUUUGAAAUAAAUUUGAGAGUGAUCUGACUUUUUAAGAAAACCACAGAAAUGUGAUAUUUGGAAGGUCUCUAAGUUGCACAGGGGCCACUGACUAGAUGUUCUUUCUUCUACACUUGUCAUUGCAUUAUUUCGGUAUGCAUUUUGCAUAAAUGGUUGAUAAGAAAACACUUUGAUACAUCUUUUCAUGCCACCAGGAUUAUGGAAAAUGCCCAAUAACAGGUGAACCCCUUACUAUGGACGAUAUUGUUCCUGUUAAAACUGGAAAGAUAGUUCGGCCAAGGCCUGUACAAGCUGCUAGCAUCCCUGGAAUGCUUGGAAUGUUCCAGACUGUAUGUAGUUUUACUCAUAAGAAUUACUAUCUUUUACUCCAUUUAAUGUAGAAUAAUGCUUGCUAAAAACAUAACUUUUUUUGCUGGACUCAGUGGAUGAUCAAUUUUCAUUUAUUUUUUGCUUACUGGCACUCCAAUCCAAAAUAAUAUGGCAGAGUUGUGGGCCUUACUACAUUUCAUUAUGCCAACCUUAUUUGAUAGUCAUGAACAGUUUAAUGAGUGGUUUUCUAAAGGAAUUGAGAGCCAUGCAGAACAUGGUGGUACUUUGAAUGAGCACCAGCUUAACCGAUUGGUAAGCAUCUUUUAUGCAACAUUAUUUUUAUUUGAAACAAAACAGUACUACUUGUAUUACUGAUGGAGAAAAAUAAUACAAAGAGUGACUUAGGGUAUAGGAGCAAGAUAUUGAGA
Molecule: long non-coding RNA, 2735 nt
Organism: Humulus lupulus (European hop)
Lineage: Eukaryota; Viridiplantae; Streptophyta; Magnoliopsida; Rosales; Cannabaceae
Exons: 3
Source: RefSeq, a predicted model, not a curated record